GCCUGGGUGGCUCAUUCGGUGAAGCGCCCGACUUCGGCUCGGGUCACGGGGUCACGAUCUAACGGUUCGUGGGUUCGAGCCCCGCGUCGGGCC
RNAcentral lists this transfer RNA (93 nucleotides) under Felis catus (domestic cat). It matches the Rfam family "tRNA". From Rfam's summary of the family: Transfer RNA (tRNA) molecules are approximately 80 nucleotides in length. Their secondary structure includes four short double-helical elements and three loops (D, anti-codon, and T loops). Further hydrogen bonds mediate the characteristic L-shaped molecular structure. tRNAs have two regions of fundamental functional importance: the anti-codon, which is responsible for specific mRNA codon recognition, and the 3' end, to which the tRNAs corresponding amino acid is attached (by aminoacyl-tRNA synthetases). tRNAs cope with the degeneracy of the genetic code in two manners: having more than one tRNA (with a specific anti-codon) for a particular amino acid; and 'wobble' base-pairing, i.e. permitting non-standard base-pairing at the 3rd anti-codon position. Lineage: Eukaryota; Metazoa; Chordata; Mammalia; Carnivora; Felidae. The record is from Rfam by way of RNAcentral.